Molecule: transfer RNA, 72 nt
Filed under: Solirubrobacterales bacterium
Lineage: Bacteria; Bacillati; Actinomycetota; Thermoleophilia; Solirubrobacterales
Description: tRNA-Glu
Rfam family: tRNA
About the family: Transfer RNA (tRNA) molecules are approximately 80 nucleotides in length. Their secondary structure includes four short double-helical elements and three loops (D, anti-codon, and T loops).
Source: RNAcentral
GCCCCCAUGGUGUAGCGGUUAGCACGCUAGCCUUUCACGCUAGUAGGAGGGGUUCGAGUCCCCUUGGGGGUA